RNAcentral lists this long non-coding RNA (967 nucleotides) under Numida meleagris (helmeted guineafowl). RNAcentral describes it as "lncRNA (ENSNMEG00000010327.1)". Lineage: Eukaryota; Metazoa; Chordata; Aves; Galliformes; Numididae. The record is from RNAcentral.
GGGCCCGGAGUUGUACAGAGAGUUUUGUAAAGCGGCCGCGCCCCCUGCCUAGCAGCGGGGUUAUGCUCUUUUAUUUCAUUUUAUAUCAUUUAAGUUUUUUUUCCGGGUUUCCCAUAAUGAUUUUUUUACCUAUUCUUUUUUUUUUCCCUCUUUUUUCCCCUUUUCUUUCUCUUUUUUUCCUCUUCUUUUUCGCUUUUUCCCCUUUUCCCAUUAUUUCCCCCCCUUCUUUUUCCUUUUUCCCCUUUCUUUUUUCCACGUUCUUUCCCUCUUUCCUUUUUUUCCCCUCUAUUUUUCCUCCUUUCUUCCUCUCCCCCCUUUUCCCCAUUUUUCCUUUUUCCCUUUUCUCAUUUUAUUUUCCUUUUAUCCUUUUAUUUCCCUUUAGUUUUUUUUCCUUUUUUCCCAUUUUCCUAUUUUUCCCUUUAUUUUUCCUUUUAUUUUUCCUUCUUUAUUUUUCUUCUUUUUCCCUUUUUCUUUUUUGUCCCUUUCCCUUUACUCCUUUUUUUUCUCCAUUUUCUUUUUUUUUCCCUUUUUCCCCUUUUCUUUUCUUUUUUUGCUUUUCCCCCUUUUUUAUUACCUUAUCCCUUUUUCCCCUUUUUUGCUUUCUUUUUCCUUUUGCCUUUUCAUUUUUCUUCCCCUUUCCCCUCUUCUUUCUCUUUCCCCCCUUUUUCUCUUCUGAUUUUCCUUUUGUCCUCUUUUAUUUCCUUUCUUCCCCUUUUUUUCCUCCUUUUGCCCCCCCCCACCCCAUUUUCUCCUUUCGCUUUUUCUCCUUUGCCCAUUUAAUUUAUUACGACAACCCCCCCCACACCCCACCAUGAGGAGCAGCCGCUCUUCCUCCCCCCUCCCACCCCCCUCCACCCCACCAGGGCCGUUCGUUACCGACGAACUCUGUAAUUAAUUAUUAAUUAACGCCGCAGACGUUAAUUGAGGCGGCGCUGUGUGUGAAUAAAGGACGGAUGGCACCGCCGCA